GUGCCUAACACAUGCAAGUCAACUUGACUGAAGGAGCAAUCUGACAGUAGAGUGGCGCAAGGGUGCGUAACGCGUAAGUAACUUGCCCCAAGGUAAGGAAUAACGUCGAGAAAUCGGCGCUAAUACCUCAUAAUGCAGCGGAUCCGCAUGGAUAUGUUGUUAAAGGUUUACCGCCUUGGGAUAGGCUUGCGUCUGAUUAGCUAGUUGGUGUGGUAACGGCACACCAAGGCUACGAUCAGUAACUGGUCUGAGAGGAUGAUCAGUCACACUGGAACUGAGACACGGUCCAGACUCCUACGGGAGGCAGCAGUGAGGAAUAUUGGGCAAUGCUCGAAAGAGUGACCCAGCAACGCCGCGUGGAGGAUGAAGGUAUUCUAUAUCGUAAACUCCUGUGAGAGCAGACGAAAGACAGAUUAUUAAUCUGGAUGACUGUAUGCUCAGAGGAAGCCCCGGCUAACUACGUG
RNAcentral lists this ribosomal RNA (464 nucleotides) under uncultured bacterium. RNAcentral describes it as "bacterial SSU rRNA". It matches the Rfam family "Bacterial small subunit ribosomal RNA", at positions 44 to 507 of the family's 1533-position model. The record is from RNAcentral.